This 231-nucleotide long non-coding RNA is filed under the name Selaginella moellendorffii. Its description in RNAcentral is "long non-coding RNA (SMOE_LNC001063)". Lineage: Eukaryota; Viridiplantae; Streptophyta; Lycopodiopsida; Selaginellales; Selaginellaceae. The record is from RNAcentral.
UGGAUCGUCUCUCAAGUCAUUCCCUUUGGUUGCUUACAAUCCACCACGCUUCCCUGCAAGUUCACGCCCUCGUGAACGGAAGCUGAGAGCCACAACUCUCCCGAGAGCCCCGCUCUCUUGACACCCUACCCCUCGGGUCGAGCCCAGCGGGAGCAAACUGGACCAGCCAGAUGUCAAUCAAUAUGUGGUGUGAUUCCCUUAGCCAACCAACAGAGUCGGACCUGAGACCCC